AUUGAACGCUAGCGGGAUGCCUUACACAUGCAAGUCGAACGGCAGCACGGACUUCGGUCUGGUGGCGAGUGGCGAACGGGUGAGUAAUGUAUCGGAACGUGCCCAGUAGCGGGGGAUAACUACUCGAAAGAGUAGCUAAUACCGCAUACGCCCUACGAGGGAAAGGGGGGGAUCGCAAGACCUCUCACUAUUGGAGCGGCCGAUAUCGGAUUAGCUAGUUGGUGGGGUAAAGGCCCACCAAGGCGACGAUCCGUAGCUGGUUUGAGAGGACGACCAGCCACACUGGGACUGAGACACGGCCCAGACUCCUACGGGAGGCAGCAGUGGGGAAUUUUGGACAAUGGGGGCAACCCUGAUCCAGCCAUCCCGCGUGUGCGAUGAAGGCCUUCGGGUUGUAAAGCACUUUUGGCAGGAAAGAAAUCGCAUGGGUUAAUACCCUGUGUGGAUGACGGUACCUGCAGAAUAAGCACCGGCUAACUACGUGCCAGCAGCCGCCGUAA
This 500-nucleotide ribosomal RNA is filed under the name uncultured bacterium. RNAcentral describes it as "partial 16S ribosomal RNA". It matches the Rfam family "Bacterial small subunit ribosomal RNA", at positions 30 to 523 of the family's 1533-position model. The record is from RNAcentral.